Molecule: long non-coding RNA, 687 nt
Organism: Cyprinus carpio carpio
Lineage: Eukaryota; Metazoa; Chordata; Actinopteri; Cypriniformes; Cyprinidae
Source: Ensembl
ACUGGUCUACACCAUAUAUUUUGAUUUAACAUUUGUAGAACUACAGAUCGUCUCAAGUGUUAAAAAAUGUGCUGACCAAUCACUGCUACUGUAGGCUGGCCAACACCAAAACUCAGUCGCAAACAGAGGCAAUGUCACGAACACAAGCCCAAACUACAGUCUAAAGGUCAGAAGUGUUGAGGGGCUGCAUAGCUGCUGUUCUCUGACCUCACAGUCUGCAGAUUAACAGAGCUUCGCCGGCCCGAGGAAAACAUGACUGAGCUUCACAGCCAAGAGAGCCUCAUUUUUUCUUCUUGCUGGCUGACCAUGGCAGAUAAGAGUCAGGACCCAUCAGAGCCACUGAAGCGGGUGCCCAGGCGAGUGCCUGACCUAAAUGCUUGACUGCACUCAGCUAGCUAACCACAUUCAGCGGGCCGUGGAGGUGGAGUGAGGCUCUUCUGCUGUCUGCGGGUGCGUAUAAAUUGCUUGCUUGCAAAGGUAAGCUUAAUCCACCCUAUUCUGCCAGACAUUAGUGAGGAAGGGACAAACUUGAAAUGUUCUGUGGAGUGGACUGAAUGUCUCAUCUUUACCUGUGUGGCUUCUGAAAUACUUACAUUUCAUGUUGAAUAUUGCUUUCUCCAAUUAGCGGUACACGUUAACCCUAUUAAAAUCAUCCAAACUGUCUGUCAAAAGCUAUCUGUCAUCUGG